Molecule: long non-coding RNA, 164 nt
Organism: Melitaea cinxia (Glanville fritillary)
Lineage: Eukaryota; Metazoa; Arthropoda; Insecta; Lepidoptera; Nymphalidae
Exons: 2
Source: RefSeq, a predicted model, not a curated record
ACAUCCUUUUUUCCUGUCCCAAACUCCUCCGUCCUAUAUAUGACAUCCUUCCCUAUGAUAUUCCCCGCCCUAUAAAUGUUCAAUGUUUGUUGAUGUUAAGGUGUAACAAUAAAAGUCUUACUAUUUUGCCUGUUUUCAAAAUUAAAUUGAGACUGUUAUCUCAA